GAUGAACGCUGGCGGCGUGCCUAAUACAUGCAAGUCGAACGCUUUGUCUUUAAUUGCUCUGAAGAGCUUGCUCUGAUUUGAUUUUAUCUGACAAAGAGUGGCGAACGGGUGAGUAACACGUGGGUAACCUACCUCUUAGCAGGGGAUAACAUUUGGAAACAAGUGCUAAUACCGUAUAACACUAACAACCGCAUGGUUGUUAGUUGAAAGAUGGUUCUGCUAUCACUAAGAGAUGGACCCGCGGUGCAUUAGCUAGUUGGUAAGGUAAUGGCUUACCAAGGCGAUGAUGCGUAGCCGAGUUGAGAGACUGAUCGGCCACAAUGGGACUGAGACACGGCCCAUACUCCUACGGGAGGCAGCAGUAGGGAAUCUUCCACAAUGGGCGCAAGCCUGAUGGGGCAACGCCGCGUGUGUGAUGAAGGGUUUCGGCUCGUAAAACACUGUUAUAAGAGAAGAACGACAUUGAGAGUAACUGUUCAGUGUGUGACGGUAUCUUACCAGAAAGGAACGGCUAAAUACGUG
Molecule: ribosomal RNA, 522 nt
Filed under: uncultured bacterium
Lineage: Bacteria
Description: partial 16S ribosomal RNA
Rfam family: Bacterial small subunit ribosomal RNA
Source: RNAcentral